This 468-nucleotide ribosomal RNA is filed under the name uncultured bacterium. RNAcentral's name for it is "partial 16S ribosomal RNA". It matches the Rfam family "Bacterial small subunit ribosomal RNA", at positions 28 to 507 of the family's 1533-position model. The record is from RNAcentral.
GACGAACGCUGGCGGCGUGCUUAACACAUGCAAGUCGAACGGAAAGGCCCUGCUUUUGUGGGGUGCUCGAGUGGCGAACGGGUGAGUAACACGUGAGUAACCUGCCCUUGACUUUGGGAUAACUUCAGGAAACUGGGGCUAAUACCGGAUAGGAGCUCCUGCUGCAUGGUGGGGGUUGGAAAGUUUCGGCGGUUGGGGAUGGACUCGCGGCUUAUCAGCUUGUUGGUGGGGUAGUGGCUUACCAAGGCUUUGACGGGUAGCCGGCCUGAGAGGGUGACCGGCCACAUUGGGACUGAGAUACGGCCCAGAGUCCUACGGGAGGCAGCAGUGGGGAAUAUUGCACGAUGGGCGGAAGCAUGAUGCAGCAACGCCGCGUGCGGGAUGACGGCCUUCGGGUUGUAAACCGCUUUCGCCUGUGACGAAGCGUGAGUGACGGUAAUGGGUAAAGAAGCACCGGCUAACUACGUG